UCCGGUUUGGCACCGGCAGUCUUCCUAGAGUCCCCGGCAUAACCCGCUGGCAACUAGGAACGGGGGUUGCGCUCGUUGCGGGACUUAACCCAACAUCUCACGACACGAGCUGACGACAGCCAUGCAGCACCUGUGCUACUGUCCCGAAGGAGGCCCCGGCUUUCACCGGGGUUACAGUAGCAUGUCAAGCCCAGGUAAGGUUCUUCGCGUUGCGUCGAAUUAAACCACAUGCUCCACCGCUUGUGCGGGCCCCCGUCAAUUCCUUUGAGUUUCAGCCUUGCGGCCGUACUCCCCAGGCGGGGCACUUAAUGCGUUAGCGCCGGCACCCGGGGGGUCGCUCCCCCAGGCACCUAGUGCCCAUCGUUUACGGCGUGGACUAC
RNAcentral lists this unclassified non-coding RNA (380 nucleotides) under uncultured Gemmatimonadaceae bacterium. RNAcentral describes it as "contains 16S-23S intergenic spacer region". Lineage: Bacteria; Pseudomonadati; Gemmatimonadota; Gemmatimonadia; Gemmatimonadales; Gemmatimonadaceae. The record is from RNAcentral.